Molecule: ribosomal RNA, 433 nt
Filed under: uncultured bacterium
Lineage: Bacteria
Description: partial 16S ribosomal RNA
Rfam family: Bacterial small subunit ribosomal RNA
Source: RNAcentral
AACGAACGCUGGCGGCAUGCCUAACACAUGCAAGUCGAACGAGACCUUCGGGUCUAGUGGCGCACGGGUGCGUAACGCGUGGGAACCUGCCCUUAGGUUCGGAAUAACUCCCCGAAAGGGGUGCUAAUACCGGAUAAUGUCUUCGGACCAAAGAUUUAUCGCCUUUGGAUGGGCCCGCGUUGGAUUAGCUAGUUGGUAGGGUAAAAGCAUACCAAGGCGACGAUCCAUAGCUGGUCUGAGAGGAUGAUCAGCCACACUGGGACUGAGACACGGCCCAGACUACUACGGGAGGCAGCAGUGGGGAAUAUUGGAAAAUGGGCGAAAGCCUGAUCCAGCAAUGCCGCGUGAGUGAUGAAGGCCUUAGGGUUGUAAAGCUCUUUUAACAGGGAUGAUAAUGACAGUACCGGGAGAAUAAGCUCCGGCUAACUCCGUG